Molecule: RNA transcript, 3122 nt
Organism: Myodes glareolus (Bank vole)
Lineage: Eukaryota; Metazoa; Chordata; Mammalia; Rodentia; Cricetidae
Gene: Ankef1
Gene name: ankyrin repeat and EF-hand domain containing 1
Source: RefSeq, a predicted model, not a curated record
GCAGGCCGUGCGUGGGUGAAGCUCACAGUGGGCCCAGCCUGGCGGCGGCAUCUAGCCUCCUAUGAUCACCUGGCCGCAAGCUGGCAGACACUUACACACAGGCACACACACCCUUCGCUGCUCGCGCAGACUGGCCUGCUCUGCCGGAAGGGACACCAUUCAUUAUUGGGGUCAAAGGCCUUGGUUUGGGCCAGUCCCAGGCCACAGAGAACAGGGGCUCUUACAAGACCAGGGACUCAGUUACUCUGAGAAAUCCGGCUCCUGAUCGCCUCUAGGACUAAAAGCUGCCCUGUUACUGUUGAAGACCUUAUCACCCACCACGGACCUGGAUCAGACAUCUCUUCUGACGUCUCAAAACUGGCUAUCAGCUUGUAUAUCCUUUCAGCAUGUCAAAGGGCUGUCUACUCUGCCUGACCAAUGUGGAGCCCACCGUGAGCAGCCCAUUUCAGAGACAGUUUUUGUCUUAGUCCAGAAAGAAUUAUUAAGAAGUGAACGUCUAACAUGGCUUUAGCAGACAAGAGACUUGAGAACUUACAGAUCUACAGAGUUCUUCAGUGUGUUCGCAACAAAGACAAGAAGCAGAUAGAGAAGCUGACCAAACUUGGAUACCCUGAGCUGAUCAACUUCACUGAACCUGUUGAUGGACUGAGUGCUCUCCACUUAGCCUCGGUUUCCAAUGACCUUGACAUGGUUAGCUUUCUCCUUGGACUUGGUGCUCACCCUGAUGUGCAAGACCACAUGGGCUGCACUCCGACCAUGAGGGCUGCGGAGCUGGGCCAUGAGUUGUCCAUGGAAAUUUUAGCCAAAGCCAAAGCUGACAUGACGAUCGUUGAUAAUGAAGGCAAAGGUGUUUUGUUUUACUGCAUUUUACCCACCAAGCGGCAUUAUCGCUGUGCGCUGAUUGCCUUGGAACACGGUGCAGAUGUCAACAACCUCACCUACGAAGGAAAGCCAGUUUUCCUCAAAGCUUGUGAACAAGCGCAUGAUGUGAAGGAUAUGUGCCUGACAUUCUUGGAGAAAGGAGCCAAUCCUAAUGCUAUCAACUCAUCUACAGGGCGCACUGCUCUGAUGGAAGCAUCAAGAGAAGGGGUGCUGGAAAUAGUUCGAGGCAUAUUGGAAAGAGGAGGUGAAGUGAAUGCAUUUGACAAUGAUAGACACCACGCUGCGCAUUUUGCUGCCAAAGGAGGCUUUUUUGAUAUAUUGAAGCUUCUCUUUGCCUACAAUGGAGACAUGGGGCUGAUUGCAAUGAACGGGAAUACACCACUUCAUUAUGCUGCGAUGGGUGGCUUUGCAGACUGCUGUAAAUACGUAGCUCAGCGAGGAUGUGACCUAAAAUGGAAAAAUUUGGAACAUAAAACACCCCGGGCUGUGGCAAAAGAUGGAGGCUUCAAAGCUGCAGGCAAGGAGAUCCGCAGAGCAGAGAGGACUGCAGCGAAGCUCGCAAAGCCUGGAGUCAAAAACCCUAACCCACUCUGGGCCCUCAGGCUGCACGACUGGUCCGCGGAGCACGAGGCUUUCCUUCGGGAUGCCUUUGCCUUCGUGGACAGGGGCGAUGGCGUAGUCAGCAAAGAGGACUUUGUGGUGACCCUGGAGGAGAGGCAAGACUUUGCCACCUCUGAGCAGUUGCUUUCCAUUGCGCAAAUGCACGAAAAAAGCCGGGGAGGCGGGGUCAACAUUAACGAGUUCUUUAAGGGAACCAAAUACUUAAGUAAGUCUUAUGUCUUGGGAUCUUUCGGGCCUAAGAAAAAGAGAAAGGGUUUGGGCAAAAAGCCAAAGAAAGGCAAAUUUGUUCUGCCUCUCCCGAUCUGCACCAUCCCGGAGAACGCCUUUCCGAGGCGGACAGACGGGGGCCCGCCCUACUACAUGAUUGAGGCCUACCAGAACGUCACCGACAGCAGCAGGUUCAACCGGGACCACCCUCCUGAGCACCCCAUCCAGGACGAUUCCGAGUGGUACAUCGAUGAUCCGGGGAAGGUCUUCGCAAAUAUUAAUUUUAUCACCAAGGCAGGAGACCUGGCCUCUCUGAAAAAGGCUUUCGAGGCAGGAAUACCUGUGGAUAUGAAGGAUAGUUCUUACAAGACGCCGCUCAUGACAGCGUGUGCCAGUGGCAACAUGGAUGUGGUCAAGUUUCUUCUUGAAAAGGGGGCGAAUGUUAAUGCAACAGAUAAUUUUCUGUGGACUCCACUUCAUUUCGCAUGCCAUGCUGGCCAGCAAGACAUUGUUGAACUACUUGUUAAAUCUGGGGCUACGAUAGAUGCUCUGUCAAUCAACAACUCCACUCCUUUAAGUAGAGCCAUCGAAAGCUGUAGACUGGACACUGUAAAAUACCUGCUUGAUAUUGGCGCUAAAUUCCAGAUUGAAAACAGAAAAGGGCAUGUUGCUAUGGAUGUUGCAAAGGCAUAUGCUGAUUAUAGAAUAAUUGAUAUGAUAAAAGAAAAGAUAGAUAACCUACCUAAACCGACAGAUAAUCAAAAAAUGAAAGGCAAGCUUCCUAAACUGAAGACCGAAGGCACAGACAUCAAGAAAGAUGAGGAAACACUGUCAUCAAUUUAUGCUGUACCAACAAUAAUAGAGGAAAAGAAAGUACACAAGGAUAAUGUGGUCUACCUCAAUUCACUGAUUACCAGUGGUUUCACGAAGAAGGUCGAUAUCACAUUUAUCCCACAUAGGAUUUGGAGUCCUGAAGCCACCACAGCAGAGCUGAUCAGGAAGAGGGAACUGCGAAGGGAGAGAUUCACAUAUGAGGUCGACUUCGAAGACUUCAUGAUGCCUUUCCAGAAGAACAUCAAGGAGAAAGCUCAAGCGAUGGAGGCGUCCUUGAAGUUCUAAGUCACAACAGUUACCUCCUGGGGUUAGUGCUUUGUGGCCCAGAGUCCACAGUUUGGAGAAAGUCAGACUUUGAAGAGGAACUGGUACACAAGGCUGAUUCCCUUAGAUUACAGUGACUAACCCAAUGAUUUGAAAUACUCCUCUGUUUCCCGAAAACUGAGAUGAUAUUAUGGUCUUGGUUCCUGAGGCUUUGGUAUCAUGCUCUCACCUAAAGAAAUGGGAAGUGAAAAAUAGAACUUUCCUCAUAGGCAUUAGUGAAAUCAACAUAUAAAAUAAAACAAGCAAUACACAAA